GACGAACGCUGGCGGCGUGCUUAACACAUGCAAGUCGAACGGAAAGGCCCUGCUUUUGUGGGGUGCUCGAGUGGCGAACGGGUGAGUAACACGUGAGUAACCUGCCCUUGACUUUGGGAUAACUUCAGGAAACUGGGGCUAAUACCGGAUAGGAGCUCCUGCUGCAUGGUGGGGGUUGGAAAGUUUCGGCGGUUGGGGAUGGACUCGCGGCUUAUCAGCUUGUUGGUGGGGUAGUGGCUUACCAAGGCUGUGACGGGUAGCCGGCCUGAGAGGGUGACCGGCCACAUGGGGACUGAGAUACGGCCCAGAGUCCUACGGGAGGCAGCAGUGGGGAAUAUUGCACAAUGGGCGGAAGCCGGAUGCAGCAACGCCGCGUGCGGGAUGACGGCCUUCGGGGUGUAAACCGCUUUCGCCUGUGACGAAGCGUGAGUGACGGUAAUGGGUAAAGAAGCACCGGCUAACUACGUG
RNAcentral lists this ribosomal RNA (468 nucleotides) under uncultured bacterium. Its description in RNAcentral is "partial 16S ribosomal RNA". It matches the Rfam family "Bacterial small subunit ribosomal RNA", at positions 28 to 507 of the family's 1533-position model. The record is from RNAcentral.